UGUAGCACAUGAACCCUUUCAGUGACUC
RNAcentral lists this non-coding RNA (28 nucleotides) under Rattus norvegicus (Norway rat). Lineage: Eukaryota; Metazoa; Chordata; Mammalia; Rodentia; Muridae. The record is from RNAcentral.